GCUUGUGACUGUCACGGAACUGGCAUCUGCGAAAUGAAGUGUCCAUACUCUUACCAAGAUGAAGCCAAUCUACGUUUGUGUGCUGGGAGAAAGGGCUUCUGCCUUAUCAACGAUGGGGAUCAUGUCAUGCUGGACCGGAGUCAUGAUUACUACUUCCAAGUGAAGCACAGCUUCACAUUGUAGAUGCAGAGUACUGUGACUUUGUUGUGUGGAACCGCAAUGACAUUUUUGUGGAAAGGAUUUUGCCUGAUUCUGAACUUUGGGAUGAUGUGAUUCCUAAAGUUGAGUAUUUUUUUUAGAAAAAGUGUACUUCCAGAAAUACUGGGACAGCAAGUUACAAACGUACAUGUGUAAUGUGAUGAAAGAAUGUUUACUGUAAAAAUUAAAUGCCAUUGAUAAGA
This is a long non-coding RNA of Fundulus heteroclitus (mummichog), 401 nucleotides long. RefSeq lists it as uncharacterized. NCBI's taxonomy places the organism in Eukaryota, Metazoa, Chordata, Actinopteri, Cyprinodontiformes, Fundulidae. The transcript has 2 exons. The record is from RefSeq and is a predicted model, not a curated record.